RNAcentral lists this transfer RNA (83 nucleotides) under Canis lupus familiaris (dog). It matches the Rfam family "tRNA". Rfam says of the family: Transfer RNA (tRNA) molecules are approximately 80 nucleotides in length. RNAcentral also lists the same sequence under 1 other name. Lineage: Eukaryota; Metazoa; Chordata; Mammalia; Carnivora; Canidae. The record is from Rfam by way of RNAcentral.
ACCUGAGUGGCUCAGUGGUUGAGCAUCUGCCUUUGGCUCAGAUCGUGAUCCCAGGGUCCUGGGAUCGAGUCCCACAUCAGGCU